UUUAUUAGUUUGAUCCUGGCUCAGGACGAACGCUGGCGGCGUGCCUAAUACAUGCAAGUCGAACGAACGGAGGAAGAGCUUGCUCUUCCAAAGUUAGUGGCGGACGGGUGAGUAACACGUGGGCAACCUGCCUGUAAGUUGGGGAUAACUCCGGGAAACCGGGGCUAAUACCGAAUGAUAAAGUGUGGCGCAUGCCACGCUUUUGAAAGAUGGUUUCGGCUAUCGCUUACAGAUGGGCCCGCGGUGCAUUAGCUAGUUGGUAGGGUAAUGGCCUACCAAGGCAACGAUGCAUAGCCGACCUGAGAGGGUGAUCGGCCACACUGGGACUGAGACACGGCCCAGACUCCUACGGGAGGCAGCAGUAGGGAAUCUUCCGCAAUGGACGAAAGUCUGACGGAGCAACGCCGCGUGUAUGAAGAAGGUUUUCGGAUCGUAAAGUACUGUUGUUAGAGAAGAACAAGGAUAAGAGUAACUGCUUGUCCCUUGACGGUWUYWGCCC
RNAcentral lists this ribosomal RNA (499 nucleotides) under Listeria monocytogenes. Its description in RNAcentral is "bacterial SSU rRNA". Lineage: Bacteria; Bacillati; Bacillota; Bacilli; Caryophanales; Listeriaceae. The record is from RNAcentral.